Molecule: long non-coding RNA, 2793 nt
Filed under: Homo sapiens (human)
Lineage: Eukaryota; Metazoa; Chordata; Mammalia; Primates; Hominidae
Description: HSALNT0322806
Source: RNAcentral
UUAGAAGCAAGAUGGAGUCGGUUAGGUCAGACCUCUUUCACUGUCUCAGUUAUAAUUUUGCAAUGGCAGUUUCAGUUGUUGAUCUGGCAGAUGUUUUCUUUUCCCAUCUGGAAAGAGGAUCAAAGCAGAGGACAUUUAUGCAGAAAAGAUAGCAAAAUAUAUUCCAUGCUGCAAGGUUAUGUUAACUCUUCAGGUUUUUGUCACAGUAUAGUAGGAAGGAACUUUGUGUAUCUUAACAUUCCACAGAGCAUCAUAGUAUUUAUUAUAUUGAUGACAUCAUGUUAAUUGUGUUGGUGCAAGGAAGUGGGAAGUAUUCUGGAUACCUUGGCAAGACCCAUGGGUCUUGCGUCAUAGCCUGAGAGAUAAAUCCUACAAUGAUUUAGGGGUCUGCCAUACUUAUGAAGAUUUUAGGGACUCAAUGGUUUGGGCUAUGCAGGGAUAUCCCCUUUAAGAUGCCAAGAACCUGGACAUCCUCCACCAGAACAAUCUCACAACAUGUCAAGUUUCCAGAGAUUGCUACUGCCUUCUUAAGCAGAUUUUCAAUGACCUAAGUUCCACUGGAAGUAGACCUAACAUAACUAGGAUGAACAGGAAACCUCUGAAUGUGAAAGUGAACACUAUUAAUACUUACAUGAAGGCAACAGGCAUGAACUGGAACAACCUUGGCCAUGCUGGGACGUAUGUUCACCCUAAGCAAAGAUCAGGAAUUCAGGCAGGGCUUGGCUGAGUGACUUCUCUGUUCCACAUGGCAUUGACACGUCUCAGGGCCUCUCCAUGUGUUUUCUCGAGCAAUGUGUUUGGUCUUCUGGAAUUAUGAUUCAUGGAUUCAAGAGACCACGGUAGAAGCUUCUAAUCCUCUUAAAAAGCAAGACUGAUCAUGGGAAACUGUCCUGUCCACUAGUACAUUAUUUCAAUCAGAGGAAGCUACUCUCUGAUUUGUAACCUACUUCUGUCUCCAGGACAACCAUAAGACCAAAGGACUCCUUGGACACCUAGUCAGGAGGGUGGUGAGUUGAACUGAGCAAGCUUGAGCAUCUCAAACUGAAGUGGACACUUGCGCUUUAUACAGAGUAAGGCCCAAAUUGAAUUAACCUGGAGUGAGUCUGCAACAAGCCUAGCGUCUGCAUUUCUAUAACUGAUCUCAGCUAACACUGGAGCUACUUAAAUUCCCAAUGAUUUUAGAAAACUAUUUUUUUUAAAGUGUGUGAUUUGAAGGUAAAUGAACCUAUUCCAAUUUAACUGCUUUAUUUUUGUGGUUGCAUAUAUAAUCAUAUUUAAGCAAUUUAAAAUCCAAACUCCCUUUUGGAGCUGUUUUAUUUUCUGAAGGGUCUUCCUUCCUUUUUCUUAUGCCCAAGAUGGUGUCUGGGUGCAGAAGGAAGCUUAUUUACCUUCCGGCUUUGGGGAAGGGCUCCUUACCCAAGUGAUGUGGUUCUCUCGUUUCCCUGUUGAUCACCAGCUGAGAUAUGUACUCACCUCACUUGACUUCUAUCCUCACUGUGUCUGCUGAUAAAAUGUCAGUUUUGUCCUCCAUUAGCUUUCUGGCCUGCCUGUGUAACCCAAGGCCUUCAGUGUCAUCUCACCUCUCUCUGUAGUGACCCAAAGGCAAGUUCAUAGAUUCCUGACUCUUGGCUAGCUUCUAUGACUUUUUCUAGGAACAAGUAGGAGCUUCUGGCUCUUUUCUAUACUGCAAGGGAAAGUGUAGUAAACUUGAGGAUGGCUAAUACAGUCCCCUCUAACAACUCAUGCUUCUUUCUCCUCCACUGCAAACACACAUGCUGGUUUAGGCCAGCAGGCACUAUGUGUGGUGUGGUGGUCUGCCCUCUGUCCCAGACAGGAAUUGCAGUGCCUGAGGGCCUUUUUCCACCCAGGGCACAACUCGCCAGUUUGAAGUUUCUAGCUUAUCUAUCUUCUCUGCCUCAUUUCUGGCUCCACAUUCAACCCCUCCACUGGCUAAAUCUUAGGGGUCCAGAGUGGGACCACUGAGAUCCUAAAGAAUCCAGGCAGGGCGUGCACUUUGCUCCCUGCUAAGCUCUCCUGCUGCUCAGGAGGGGUGUGUGCCCUCUCCUCAAUCUGGUAGAUACUUCUUUCAUCAUUGGUUUUGAAAUCCUCCACUGAUGACUUUGUUGUUCUGGGUGUUUCCUCUGUCCUCUCCUCUCAUAUCUUAAUGGUGGAUAGGGUUUUAGGGAUUAAAAAAUCUCUGGAUUACUGAAAGGAAAAAUGUUUAGAGAGGCAUUUAAGAUGAUUUUUCUUAUUAUCACUUUUAAACCCACACUGAAGGUCUAGGUCCUAUACCUGUUCUGUUGGAAUCUUGGCCAAUCUCACAGUUUUUCUGGUCAUUCUUAGAAUAGUUAUAAUGGCCUUUGUUUAAAAAACAAUUUCAUAUGAAAACUAAAAUAUGCAGGUCAGCAUAAUAAUCAAACCCUUAUACUCUUACCUAAAUGUCAUUACGUAGGUUUCCCCCAAACAUCACCUCCUCAGGGAGGCUUUCUCUGACCAUUAAAUGUAGCCUCAUGGAAGUUCUAGGCAACCUUUGCCAUUUCCUGUUGUAACACCUUGAUUUAGUUCACUUAACAUAUACAUAUUGGGGGCUUACUACGUGGCAUCCAGAAUUAUUCUAGGCACUAGGAAUAUCACAAUAAAUAAGACAGAGCCGGUCCUUUACCUAGUGGAAGGACACAAGCACUAGACAAACAAUUAAAUGAGCAAGAAAAAUAUCAUUUAGCAGCAUGUGCUAUGCAGAUAAUUUUGUUUUUUGAGACAGAGUCUCACUGUGUCACCCAGGCUGGAGUGCAG